Molecule: ribosomal RNA, 478 nt
Filed under: Treponema sp. canine oral taxon 170
Lineage: Bacteria; Pseudomonadati; Spirochaetota; Spirochaetia; Treponematales; Treponemataceae
Description: bacterial SSU rRNA
Rfam family: Bacterial small subunit ribosomal RNA
Source: RNAcentral
GAGUUUGAUUCUGGCUCAGAACGAACGCUGGCGGCGCGUCUUAAGCAUGCAAGUCGAACAGCAAGAGAGGAGCUUGCUCUUCUCCUAGAGUGGCGGACUGGUGAGGAACACGUGGGUAAUCUACCCUUAAGAUGGGGAUAGCCGUUAGAAAUAGCGGGUAAUACCGAAUAGCCUUAAAGCGUCAUAAGAGGUUUAAGGAAAGGAAGCUAAGGCUUCGCUUAAGGAUGAGCCUGCGUCCCAUUAGCUAGUUGGUAGGGUAACGGCCUACCAAGGCGACGACGGGUAUCCGGCCUGAGAGGGUGAUCGGACACAUUGGGACUGAGAUACGGCCCAAACUCCUACGGGAGGCAGCAGCUAAGAAUAUUCCGCAAUGGACGGAAGUCUGACGGAGCGACGCCGCGUGGAUGAAGAAGGCUGAAAAGUUGUAAAAUCCUUUUGCCGAUGAAGAAUAAGGAUAAGAGGGAAUGCUUGUCUGAUG